GUGCCAGCCGCCGCGGUAAUACGUAGGUGGCAAGCGUUAUCCGGAAUUACUGGGCGUAAAGCGCAUGCAGGCGGCUCUUUAAGUCUGACGUGAAAGCUCCUGGCUUAACUGGGAGAGGUCGUUGGAAACUGGGGGGCUUGAGGCAAUGAGAGGGGUGUAGAAUUCCCGGUGUAGUGGUGGAAUGCGUAGAUAUCGGGAGGAAUACCAGUGGCGAAAGCGGCACCCUGGCAUUGGCCUGACGCUCAUGUGCGAAAGCGUGGGGAGCAAACGGGAUUAGAAACCCGCGUAGUCC
Molecule: ribosomal RNA, 292 nt
Filed under: uncultured bacterium
Lineage: Bacteria
Description: partial 16S ribosomal RNA
Rfam family: Bacterial small subunit ribosomal RNA
Source: RNAcentral